CAACGGUUACAACAAACAAAAGAUAGAAAGAUAGACAAAUGGAGGUAUAAUCUUAAGAACCCAAGAACAUAUGACACUCUUGGAUCCUUAACACUACACACUACAAUCAACAAUCUCUUACAAUUGAUUCAAGAGAGGCAUCCACUACCCAAGGACCAAUGUACCAAGUAAUGCAACACAUAAGUGAUUCCACACUUUUAUAUGGCCCUAGUUACGGUUUUGGGACUCUCUCUAUAACUACGAGGAGGGUUCUCUCAAUAUCAUUAAGAAACUAAAGAAAUAAACCCUACAACAUUCUAUUUAUACUAUAUUACAAUAAUAGAUAAAAUUACAAAAGAGCCCUUUAUUGACUAGUCUACAAAAAUACUCAAAAAGUGUCAUGAUCAUGAUCAUACUUGUAUCACAUUUGGUAGGGCAUCAAUGUACUCCUUCAUGAGUACUGUGGUACUAUUCCUCACCUAGAAAUCAUGCCACUAUAUUUAUAUCAAUUGUAGUAUGUAGAAUAGUGUUCAAUCUUCAAACUUUAGGUAAACUAGAUUUAAGUAAAUGAUCUAGUCAGAGAAUACACUAAUCUAAAAAACCCCAGAUUGAAAAAAUUGAAGUACAAAUUUGAGAGAAAUUUAAAUGCGAAUUCAUUCAGACUUUUUAACACAAAUUGAAAGCUGAAAUUCAAUCUGAC
RNAcentral lists this long non-coding RNA (679 nucleotides) under Capsicum annuum. RNAcentral describes it as "long non-coding RNA (CANN_LNC012430)". Lineage: Eukaryota; Viridiplantae; Streptophyta; Magnoliopsida; Solanales; Solanaceae. The record is from RNAcentral.